AAUCAACGCUGGCGGCGUGCCUCAGACAUGCAAGUCGAACGAUUAAAGCUCUCUUCGGAGAGUGUAUAGAGUGGCGCACGGGUGAGUAACACGUAAGUAAUCUACCUUUGAGUGGGGAAUAACCCGGGGAAACCCGAGCUAAUACCGCAUAAUGCAGCGGCACCGCAAGGUGACAGUUGUUAAAGGAGCAAUCCGCUUAAAGAGGAGCUUGCGGCAGAUUAGCUAGNGGUAAGGUAAUGGCUUACCAAGGCUUCGAUCUGUAUCCGGCCUGAGAGGGCGGUCGGACACACUGACACUGAAUAACGGGUCAGACUCCUACGGGAGGCAGCAGUCGGGAAUUUGGGCAAUGGGCGAAAGCCUGACCCAGCAACGCCGCGUGAAGGAUGAAGUAUUUCGGUAUGUAAACUUCGAAAGAAUGGGAAGAAUCAAUGACGGUACCAUUUAUAAGGUCCGGCUAACUACGUGCCAGCCGCCGCUGUAAC
Molecule: ribosomal RNA, 482 nt
Filed under: uncultured bacterium
Lineage: Bacteria
Description: bacterial SSU rRNA
Rfam family: Bacterial small subunit ribosomal RNA
Source: RNAcentral